AACGAACGCUGGCGGCAUGCCUAACACAUGCAAGUCGAACGGGGAUCCUAGCUUGCUAGGUGAGAGUGGCGGACGGGUGAGUAACACGUGGGAAUCUGCCUUUUUGGUUCGGGAUAACCGCGGGAAACUGCGGGCUAAUACCGAAUGCCCUCGAGAGAGGAAAGAUUUAUCGCCAGAAAGAGGAGCCCGCGUCCGAUUAGGAGUUGGUGGGGUAAAGGCCUACCAAGCCGACGAUCGGUAGCUGGUCUGAGAGGAUGAUCAGCCACACUGGGACUGAGAUACGGCCCAGACUCCUACGGGAGGCAGCAGUGGGGAA
RNAcentral lists this ribosomal RNA (316 nucleotides) under uncultured bacterium. RNAcentral describes it as "bacterial SSU rRNA". It matches the Rfam family "Bacterial small subunit ribosomal RNA", at positions 29 to 361 of the family's 1533-position model. The record is from RNAcentral.